CUAAUCUGUAUCUAAAUAAAACUCAAGCAUGGAUAUGAUGAAUAGUUGCUCUGCCUAAUUUGCAUAUUUUAAGUUCUCUCUCAAAUUUAGACAUAACUGUUAUAAUUUAAAGCUUGCUCUAGACCUAAACUUGUGGGAUGAAAACUUGAUCUCAAGUCUAAGUUGUUAACGGAUACGAUAUAUAAAGUGGCUAUGCUAAUCUGUAUCUAAAUAAAACUCAAGCAUGGAUAUGAUGAAUAGUUGCUCUGCCUAAUUUGCACAUUUUAAGUUCUCUCUCAAAUUUAGACAUAACUGUUAUAAUUUAAAGCUUGCUCUAGACCUAAACUUGUGGGAUGAAAACUUGAUCUGAAGUCUAAGUUGUUAACGGAUACAAUAUGGGAAGGUUGAGCUGCUGUUUAUCUGUUCCUAGAGAUGCUAGAAUUCUGGAGAAUUUUAUCUUUGAAAAUCUUUAAAAUAUUGCAUGAUGAGUUUCUGUAUGAUGAGAGUUUAAAUUCCUACCACAACCAUAUAUACAUGCUUGCUAGACUUUGAGCCACACAUUUACUACUUACUGCUUAUGAACAUUGAGUGUGGUCAAACUGUGUAGACCCUUAGGAGCUUGUCAUGUGGUUAAAUCAAGAUUUCACUUGUAUGUUCACUCAUACAUGCUACUUCUACUCCGGAAGUACCAUCCACAUAUAUUCACCCAUUCUCAUCUCCAGAACCACCUAAAAAUAUUCUACUCCUAAUCCGGGAGAGAAUAAUCAAAAAUAUUUCUAUUUUCCCCUGUGAAAUAAAUGCUCAAGUUAUCUUGUUACUACCACUUGCUAUAUUAUCUCAAGAGAUGAGUGCUCUAAAAAAAGAAGAAAAAAAAGAGAUACGAGGAAAUAAAAAGGAGCAAGUGCUCGGAACCUCGAAAGAAAAGAAAAAGUGAGACGAGAGGUAAAAAUGGACAAGUGUCCGACAGUAGAAUUAGGGGUACAAGAUACCCACCUGAGAGGAAAGAAAAUGAAGAGCAUCUCAUUCUCCUCACAAAGUUUCAAAAAGCAAGAAAGGUAUGUAUCCCCUAAAAGAGCAAAGUAGAAUUAGACUUUCACCACUGUUACCACCAUCAUCACCAUACACCAUUCAUUCGCCACACAUGCACAUCUUGAUUAAACUUAUUGACUUGUUACUUUGGAUCCAUGGUUUGACUAUGCAAUAAAUGUCUUGUAAGUAUGUAUACUUUAUCUCCCACCUAUGAGCUCCAGAUAUUAAAGCCUUAUUAGAGUAGGGUGAGAGAGAAGGCAAUAUCACUAUGCUUUAUACCACAAAUACCACAUAUCUUGAGAGAAGGCAUAUACCAUCACUGCCUUGGUAAGGAUCCAGAAAUACCACAAAAGAGAUAUUUUAGAGAGUCAUACAAGGAAUCUCUGAGUUUUAUUUGAAAAUCUGCAAAAACUCCAGAGCUAUAGCUGAUCAAGAAUAAGAGAUAUGACACUUGACUAGACUGUUCUAUCUUUUAACUACUCAAGACAGAAGUGACGGUUACAAGUCCCAUGGUAGAAGGUAAAGUAAGUAAGUUUUAAGUCUUCAUAGUUUACUCUAACUCAGAGAUGAGAUCUUAUGCCAGAUCGUGGGGUAGUUCGUGAUAGUGACAGCUUCAUUGAUUCUUAUAUAGUCCCCCUCUCGUGUGUUGGGCUGGCAGAGCAACAUUAUUACAGGGGAGUGAUUGCUAUGUUUCUCAUUUACCUUGCUAAUAUCACUAUGCAUGGGCGUAGUCUUGUCUCGCAAUGAUUGCUAAGUAUGCUUGAACUAAUUAUGAUAAUGCUAGACUAUAUAGUUGAGAAUAACUUAGAGAAUAUUCUUGUAGUUCGUUCUAAUACCAUACUAAUGACUUUCUAGAGUAUCUAAUUGAGGUGCUUAUCAUAUUUAUAUGUGGCUGAUCAGAUUAAUUAUCUUUGUCACUAUUCAUUAUUUCAUAUAUCUUUUAUGUGACACUUACCCCUGUAUGAAAGAGUUAGAUAAAUGUUCUCAAUUAUACAUGCAAUGAUAGAUACUCAAUCUUAUAUUCUAUUCUGUAAUCAAUAUUGAUGAUUGUUAGUCCCUUCCCAGUGGUAAAAAUAUAAAUAACGAUACCUGGAAUACUUCCCGGUUAAAAUACUACAUCGGUAUUAAUCUGUGCGC
This 2145-nucleotide long non-coding RNA is filed under the name Sorghum bicolor (sorghum). RNAcentral's name for it is "long non-coding RNA (SBIC_LNC009824)". The record is from RNAcentral. Lineage: Eukaryota; Viridiplantae; Streptophyta; Magnoliopsida; Poales; Poaceae.